UUGUUUCCAGUUUUUCUCUGUAACGAGCAGCAUGCACUGAAAAGAAAAAAAAAAAAAAAACCCUAUGACUCCACUGAUGAAUCUAUUUCCUUCCGAGAAAUUCUCAGACACGGAAUUGCUGGGCCAGAAGGACGCACAUUUCCAGGACUUGGAUAGGCAUUGCCAGAUUGCCCUCCUGGGAGGUCGUACCUAACUCCACCCACCACGGUGGAGUCAGCGUUUCUCUCUCCCCGCUGACACCUGCAGGUGGAGAUCCACAGGCUUAGAACUCACUCCAGCUGUCAGUCCUGCAGCCGGACCCCUGAGGGCUGCAGGAAUCAAGUUCCUCCCCUUCCUUGCCCCACCCCGAAGCGCCUGAGAGAGCCCGUCUGCCAGGCAAGGCCAGGGUCUCCAUGCCAACCCUGUGAGGCCACCCGCAGACCCUGACCUCCUCCCCUUCCACGCAGGCGCCUGAUGUCUCUCCUUGAGGCCUGUAGCCCACACCUCGUGACGGGACAGCGAGCUUCUGAGUUAUCGGCAGCCUUAUUUCCCUCUACAGCUCCUACGGCGUUAACAGAUGUACGCACGUCUGAGGCAGUCAUGCGGCAAGAGACUUUGGGGCCAAUCCUUCCCGUUUUGACAGUGUGUAAUCGAGGUGAAGCCAUAAAUUUUAUAAACAAGAAUAAACGACCCUCAGCAACAUAUGUCUGCUCGACCCUUCCAAGAUGAAGAAGCAAGUCCAAGGAAGAUGGGACAACUUGCCCAGAGUCGCGAUGCUAGGAAGUAACAGAGCUGGUCUUGGACCCAGGUCUGCCCGAAGCUGACGCCCAUGCUGAGUGUUCGACUGCUGCCUGCACUCCAGUGCUCCUCACUCCACGAGCCUGGGGCUCCGCAGAGCCAGCAGUGAGGCGGCUGGAGCAGGCAGCCCUGUGCGCCGAUUCACUCCUGAAGGAGAGGAUGCACAGAGCCUUCAUCAGAAGUUUGUGAAUCUGCGGAGUGGGAGAGCACCGGGACACCCCCAGAGUUCCUGGGUGUCC
This is a long non-coding RNA of Kogia breviceps (pygmy sperm whale), 1016 nucleotides long. RefSeq lists it as uncharacterized. The record is from RefSeq and is a predicted model, not a curated record. Lineage: Eukaryota; Metazoa; Chordata; Mammalia; Artiodactyla; Physeteridae.